This 254-nucleotide ribosomal RNA is filed under the name uncultured bacterium. RNAcentral's name for it is "partial 16S ribosomal RNA". It matches the Rfam family "Bacterial small subunit ribosomal RNA", at positions 524 to 776 of the family's 1533-position model. The record is from RNAcentral.
UACGUAGGGUGCGAGCGUUGUCCGGAAUUAUUGGGCGUAAAGGGCUCGUAGGCGGUUUGUCGCGUCGGGAGUGAAAACCUACAGCUUAACUGUGGGCUUGCUUCGAUACGGGCAGACUAGAGGUAUGCAGGGGAGAACGGAAUUCCUGGUGUAGCGGUGAAAUGCGCAGAUAUCAGGAGGAACACCGGUGGCGAAGGCGGUCUCUGGGCAUGAUCUGACGCUGAGGAGCGAAAGUGUGGGGGGGAGCGAACAGG